RNAcentral lists this small RNA (80 nucleotides) under Sodalis sp. TME1. Its description in RNAcentral is "isrK Hfq binding RNA". It matches the Rfam family "isrK Hfq binding RNA". Lineage: Bacteria; Pseudomonadati; Pseudomonadota; Gammaproteobacteria; Enterobacterales; Bruguierivoracaceae. The record is from Rfam by way of RNAcentral.
GCAGCAGCAAAUUCCGCUGCCGGGUUUCACAGCCUGUUUAUCGAGUUGGUGCCAGAACACGCACCCAAAGCGUGUUUUUU